Molecule: transfer RNA, 67 nt
Filed under: Byrrhinus sp. BYR01
Lineage: Eukaryota; Metazoa; Arthropoda; Insecta; Coleoptera; Limnichidae
Description: tRNA-His
Source: RNAcentral
AUCUAAAUAGUUUAAGUAAAAAAUUUUGAUUUGUGGGGUCAACGAUAUAUGUUUAGUAUUUUGGAUA